AGACCUAGCUGCUGUCGAAGUUCCAUCUACAAUGGAUAAGACUUUGGUCUUAGUGUGUAUGAGCUUUUGAAAAAAAAAAAGGAGCAAUCGCCAAUUUCUUGUUCUAUCAARAGGGUUGGCAUUGCYCCUUUUUUUAGUAUUUUUAUUUUUAGUAAUAGUUAGUUUACUUUAAAUCAAUUUUCUUUUUUUUUUUAACUUUGGWAUUYCUUCC
This 211-nucleotide unclassified non-coding RNA is filed under the name Xylosma ovata. RNAcentral's name for it is "partial miscellaneous RNA". The record is from RNAcentral. Lineage: Eukaryota; Viridiplantae; Streptophyta; Magnoliopsida; Malpighiales; Salicaceae.